UGCAGAUUUCCAAAGAAUAGCAAGGAGAGACAAGGGGGGCUUCUUAAAUAAGCAGUGCAAAGAAAUAGAGGAAAACAAUCGAAUGGGAAAAACCAGAGAUCUGUUCAAGAAAAUUGGAGAUAUGAAAGGAACAUUUCAUGCAAAGAUUACCACAAUAAAGGACAAAAGUGGUAAGGACCUAACAGAAGCAGAAGACAUCAAGAAGAGGUGGCAAGAAUACACAGAAGAAUUAUACCAGAAAGAUAUGGAUGUCUCGCACACCCCAGGUAGUGUGGUUGCUGACCUUGAGCCAGACAUUUUGGAUAGUGAAGUCAAAUGGGCCUUAGGAAGCACUGCUAAUAACAAGGCCAGUGGAAGUGAUGACAUUCUAGCUGAACUAUUUAAAAUGGUAAAAGAUGAUGCUGUUAAGGUGCUACACUCAAUAUGCCAGCAAGUUUGGAAAACUCAGCAGUGGCCAGAGGACUGGAGAAGAUCAGUCUACAUCCCAAUCUCAAAGAAGGGCAGUGCCAAAGAAUGCUCCAACUACCGCACAAUUGCACUCAUUUCACACGCUAGCAAGGUUAUGCUUAAAAUUCUACAAGGCAGGCUUAAGCAGUAUGUGGACAGAGAACUCCCAGAAGUGCAAGCUGGAUUUCGAAGGGGCAGAGGAACCAGAGACCAAAUUGCAAACAUGCGCUGGAUUAUGGAGAAAGCUAGAGAGUUCCAGAAAAACAUCUACUUCUGCUUCAUUGAUUGCGCAAAAGCCUUUGACUGUGUCAACCACAGCAAACUAUGGCAAGUUCUUAAAGAAAUGGGAGUGCCUGAUCACCUCAUCUGUCUCCUGAGAAAUCUCUAUGUGGGACAAGAAGCUGCACUUAGAACUAGAUAUGGAACAACUGAUUGGUUCAAAAUUGGGAAAGGAGUACGAUAAGGCGGUAUAUUGUGAGCAAUUAAAGAACCUCUUAAUGAGGGUGAAAGAGGAGGGAGCAAAAUAUGGUCUUAAGCUCAGCAUAUAAAAAAAAACUAAUAUCACGGCCACUGAUCCCACCACCUCCUGGCAAACAGAAGGGGAAGAAAUGGAGGCAGUGAGAGAUUUUACAUUCUUGGGAUCCAUGAUCACUGCAGAUGGUGACAGCAGUCACGAAAUUAAAAGACCCCUGCUUCUUGGGCGAAAAGCAAUGACAAACAUAGAUGGCAUCUCAAAAAGCAGAGACAUCACUUUGCCGACAAAGGUCUGUAUAGUUAAAGCUAUGGUUUUCCCAGUAGUGAUGUAUGGAAGUGAGAGCUGGACCAUAAAGAAGGCUGAACGCCAAAGAAUUGAUGCUUUUGAAUUAUGGUGCUGGAGGAGACUCUUGAGAGUCCCAUGGACUGCAAGAAGAUCAAACCUAUCCAUUCUGAAGGAAAUCAGCCCUGAAUGCUCACUGGCCAGUGGAAGGACAGAUCUUGAAGCUGAGGCUCCAGUACUUUGGCCACCUCAUAAGAAGAGAAGACUCCCUGGAAAAGACCCUGAUGUUGGGAAAGAUGGAGGGCACAAGGAGAAGGGGACGACAGAGGAUGAGAUGGUUGGACAGUGUUCUCAAAGCUACUAACAUGAGUUUGACCAGGCAGUGGAAGACAGGAGUGCCUGGCGUGCUCUGGUUCAUGGGGUCACAAAGAGUCAGACGCGACUAAACAACAACAUUGUGCUCUACACAGGGUUUUCCUCAAACACAGUCUAGAAGUUGCAGCUAGUGCUAGUGUUGAGUCUGAUACAUAGGGACCAUAUUGCACCAGCUCUUAAAGAGAAGUACUGGCUCCCAAUGAACUACCAAGCCCAACCCAAGGUUUUGGUCUUGGUGUGCAAAGCCCUAAGUGGCUUGGGACUCAAUUCUUUGAAGAAUCACCCUCCCUCCAUAUCAAUUUACCCAUGACCUUAGCUCUACAAGGGAGGUCCUGUUGAAUUCCAGCUUUCCGGAAGCUCAGGGGGGUCUGUGACCUGCUGCUGAAGGGUUUUCUCAUUAAUAGCAGCCCAGUUUUGGAAUGCAUCCUCCCUGGAGGUUUGGCUGGUGCCAACACUGUUUAGUUUUAGGCACCAGCUGAAAAUCUGCCUCUUCCAUCUUUUUAAUGCAGAGGGUUUCCUGAACUGCAGAAAAUUGGUAAGAUGCUCUAUUACUAUAUUGCCAAUUUAAAGUUUUUUUCUUUUAUAAAUAUUACAUAUUUAUCCCUGCAACCCACCCAUUCCAAGGUAAAGUGUGGGAUAUAAGUUUUAAAAGGAAAUAAAUAGAUAUGCUGCUGACUGUUCUAUAGUUUCUGUGUAGCUGCUCUGUCGCUGGCCUCAGUCAGCCUUGAUAACUCAAUGCUGAGGGAAGCCAUUAAGCAAGUCAGUCUGAAGGACUUUGAGAGUUAAAAUGUCAGAAUUCAUUUAAACCAUUAUGCAUUUGCAUGCCUCAGCAAUGAAAACAAUGUAGGCCCUGGUGGAUUCAAAGCAAGACACUGGCCACAAAUCCCCCUUUUCAUUUUUCAGUCUUUUUCUCCCUUUAAAAUUGGAUUUUCUUGUUUGGGUUAGUUAAGUGUGGUGCCGCAGACUUGUUGCAGAACUGUUGUGAAAUAUUAGUUUUGUAUUUCUAUAGUCUUCAGCCACUUGCACUAACCUGUUUCAGAUUGGGGAGUGAGUUGUAGCAAUGAUUGAUAACACUUGUGAAGUGAAUGAACAAUAACUCCAUUCCAUAGGUUUUAUUAUUUUUCCUUUCUUUUGAUUUGAUUUGAUUUUCUAAAGUAUAGACCUUUUAUUGCUUGCUUGCUUGCUAGCUGUCUGCUGCUAAAGAGCAGAAUCCAGCAAACAUAUAUCAUAUUGAAAUCAAUUUGAUAUGUGCUUUUAUCCCUAAUCAUUGAAGAACCCCACACACUUGUAAUUAAGGCUGCGGUCUGCUGUACAUUUACUUUGGCGUAAGCCCCUUGAACUUAGCAGGACUUAUUUCAGAGAGUAAAUGUGAACAGGAUUAUGUUGCAUGUUCUACAGACUGCUUUCAUUUGAGUAAAAAUUGUGGAUACACAAAUUACUUGGUCAUAAGAACAUAAAAAGAACCUGCAUUAGGCCAAAGGCGUAUCUAGUCUAGCAUCCUGUUCUCAAAGUGGCCAACCAGAUGCUCACAAAAAGCCCAAACACAGGACAUGAGUGCAGCAGCACUCUCCCCAUCAGUGAUUCCCAGCAAUUGGCAUUCUGCGGCAUACUGCCUCUGACUGGAGGUAGAACAUACCCAUUGUGACAAGUUGCCAUUGAUAGCCUUUCACACAGUAUUUAGUUUCUGGGAGCAAGAGAGAUAACAGGAACAAAAAGAAAGGCUUGUUGCACAUGUAAAAUAAGAUUAUUGCCCUCCCUUUCCAGGUAAACUGUUGUUACUUUUAAGAGGCGUGGGAAUUGUUAUAUUGGUUGCUUCUCCUUCAAAAGGAAGACUUAAAGGAGAGAUUGAUGAGUUAUUUGCAGAGUGCUCCUAGUGAGCAUUCAGAACUUCCUCCUGAGCGCUACUGCUUUUGGGCAUCUCAUUUUCUAGGAGAGGUUUUUAUUUCCCCUUUUAAGAAUGCAAUGAUUUUUUAAUAUUAAAAAACCCUGUUUUUUCUUCUUCUGAGAAGGUAGAUCCCACUUGGCCAGAUGCAGCUCAAGUUAAGUAGAUGUGUAAGAACUUUUCUUCUGAAAUGUUCCAUUUUUUCCUUAAACUUUUUACUAUUUUCAAGCCUGUAAACUCUGGUUGCCUUUAAAAAGCCUGAUUUUAACUUGUCUAAUUCUUACAAGACUGUGUCUGGGAGAUGGAUUCCAUGCUCAAACUGUACCAAUGGAUUCAGGUUACUGAAGUUCAAAUCUCCCUAUAUUAAAGGGGCCUCUGGUUUUUUCUGGACACCCCAUGAACCUUGGGGUCCAGUUGGCUCUUUGCACAUCAGGUUUCCUACCAGCUUUGGUGUAAAUGGUAGAUGAUGGCAGCUGUUGAGGUACCGGGAGUUUGGGGGUCUUUUAUUAUGCCUAGGUUCCCUGAUCCCUGGGUUUUGCUUCCCUCCACAAAGCCUAUGAAAUAUGAUCAGUUAUUUCCAUUCAUCUGGGACCUGAUAUUGCAGAACGUCUUUGUUGCAAAUGACUCAGUUACCCACCCCCAUGUUUGCCAUAGGCUCAGCUUCUCUGAGGUCACAGCUUGCCAUUUUAUAGACAGCCUUGAACCACAGCAUAAGUGCAUAAGAAGAGGCCAGCGACUCAUCUACUCCAGCAUCCUGUUCCUAAGUGGUCCAACCCAUGGGAAGCAUGCAAACAGAAUCUGAGCACAACAACAUUCUCCCCUCCUGUAGUUUCCAGCAACUUGUAUUCAGUAUUCAUCUCUAGUGGGCCAGACAUGCAUCCAGUGACAUUUCCUUUGAGAUGACCAUAGUCGGAAAGAAAUGUGUCCUUGGCUCACCUUAGUCUGCAGACAUUCAUAUACUUCAGAUUUGUCAAGUGUGUGUGUGUGUGUGUGUGUGUGUGUGUGUUGUUUGCUACCAAAGUUGUCUCCCCAAAUCAUCUCCAAUCUUCUUCCUCCUCCUCCUUUAUCAGUAGGAGCACACAGACAGAUAACAUCCUUGUGAUGUGACCCUGACCUUUGUCAACCUUUGUUAAGACUUCAUCUGAAGUCAGGCCUAAUGUUUGUAAACAGGAUGUAAUUAAGGCUGGGAACUGACAGAGCCUGACAGUAAGACAAUGCCAAGCUGGCAGAGAAUGGUCUGUCAGAUGUCAGCUCUCAUUGUGUUCUAAGUGCCUUCAUAAUAAUUAGAGCCCUCUGUAUUAAGGAAGUUCACUCAACUUGGAUUAAUCUGUCACAGUGUGGAGGCCAUCCUUCGGAGUGCAAGUGUUUCCUCUGAUAAACCUUAAAACGAGCCUGGGC
Podarcis lilfordi (Lilford's wall lizard) is the source of this 4859-nucleotide non-coding RNA. Lineage: Eukaryota; Metazoa; Chordata; Lepidosauria; Squamata; Lacertidae. The record is from the annotation of a GenBank genome assembly.